CUGAUAGUGCUGAAGGAGGUGCAUGGAGCCGAUGUCUGUUGACGCGCUGGCCUCCUCUCACCCUCUCUCUGCUAAAGAGGAAGACAUCAUGAGGCCUGCACAGAUCAGUGAACUGUUUGACACCAUCACCUACAGCAAGGGAGCAGCAGUUCUUGAGGAUGCUGUCUGAGUUCUUGACAGAGCCGGUCUUCUCCCGAGGACUUAGUACGUAUCUGAAUACAUUCAAGUACAGCAACACAGUCUACCAGGACCUCUGGAAGCACCUGCAGAUGG
Salvelinus sp. IW2-2015 is the source of this 273-nucleotide long non-coding RNA. RefSeq lists it as uncharacterized. The record is from RefSeq and is a predicted model, not a curated record. Lineage: Eukaryota; Metazoa; Chordata; Actinopteri; Salmoniformes; Salmonidae.